GCCCUGGUGGACUAGUGGUUAGGCCACAGCGCUCUCACCUCUGCGGUCCGGGUUCGAUUCCCAGCCAGGGAA
RNAcentral lists this transfer RNA (72 nucleotides) under Pangasius djambal. RNAcentral describes it as "tRNA-Glu". It matches the Rfam family "tRNA". From Rfam's summary of the family: Transfer RNA (tRNA) molecules are approximately 80 nucleotides in length. Their secondary structure includes four short double-helical elements and three loops (D, anti-codon, and T loops). Lineage: Eukaryota; Metazoa; Chordata; Actinopteri; Siluriformes; Pangasiidae. The record is from RNAcentral.